RNAcentral lists this ribosomal RNA (442 nucleotides) under uncultured Glomus. Its description in RNAcentral is "SSU rRNA". It matches the Rfam family "Eukaryotic small subunit ribosomal RNA", at positions 569 to 1013 of the family's 1831-position model. The record is from RNAcentral. Lineage: Eukaryota; Fungi; Glomeromycota; Glomeromycetes; Glomerales; Glomeraceae.
AGCAGCCGCGGUAAUUCCAGCUCCAAUAGCGUAUAUUAAAGUUGUUGCAGUUAAAAAGCUCGUAGUUGAAUUUCGGAACCGAUGGAUCGGUCACGCCAUUCGGUGUGUACUGGUUUAAUUGGUUCUCACCUUCUAAGGAACCGUGAUGUCAUUAAUUUGGUGUCGCGGGGAAUUAGGACUGUUACCUUGAAAAAAUUAGAGUGUUUAAAGCAAGCUCACGCUUGAAUACAUUAGCAUGGAAUAAUGAAAUAGGACAUUGUAUUCUACUUUGUUGGUUUCUAGGAUCGAUGUAAUGAUUAAUAGGGAUAGUUGGGGGCAUUAGUAUUCAAUUGUCAGAGGUGAAAUUCUUGGAUUUUAUUGAAGACUAACUACUGCGAAAGCAUUUGCCAAGGAUGUUUUCAUUAAUCAAGAACGAAAGUUAGGGGAUCGAAGACGAUCAGAU